CGCCUUCCCAGAGCAGAGACCGGGAAGGCGGAGGCCAGGAGCGGGAGGAGAGGAGGGGGCGGCCCAGGAGCGGAGGUCUGAAGCGAGGUCACAUCUGGGCAGGAUCCAAUGAGAGGUAAAGCUAGAAAGGGGGACAGAACUAAAGGGAUGAACCAAGGAAUGGACCGGACACAGAGAGAGAGAGAGCAAUGACCGACCAUAGGAUGGGGACGCCCUUCAGCGAGAGACAAAGACGAUCUCUCUGUGUGACCACAAGGAUGGCGAUUAAAAGGACAGGAGUGAACAGACAGGGAGGAAACAGGAAAAAGGAACAGGCAAGGAGGCAAAAUAAGUAAUUCGUGCACCAGGGCUAGCUAAAGGCUCAGAAAAUCACCAGGCUGUUAGGCUGAGCUGGGAGAGGAGACAGAGCCGUACCCAAGGGUGGACCAUCAGAAAGACACAGGCAGGCAAUUUAAGCAGCUAGCUACUGAGGUAAAAAUGAAAAAAAAGAAAAAUAGAAGAUGGAAAAGGUGAGAACCGGGAGAGGGAAAACCCAGAGGAGACACUGGCCCAGAAACCUUUUUAACUUUCCGUAAGAAUCUUCAAGGCCCCAAACUAGGCCAAGAUUCUGACUGACAUUUCUGAGCUCACCAGCUGCUGUUUCCUUGAGAGAAUUCUGACAGGAAGGCAUAGAAAUGCAAGCCAACACUGCUAGCUCUGGGGAAAAAAAAAUCCACGCUCUUAACACCUCAAUGGGGCUGAAACCCGCCAGGGAAGAAGGCACACGGAGGAGGAGGGACCGGUCCUGCAACUUCUCCCCAGGCUUGGACCAGCGAUGCUCAGGAGGUACCAAGGAGUCCUCACCCUGGAGGCCGCAGUCACCUCCCGCGGGAGCUGCCCCCUGCUCUGGCUGGUCAAACGGAACCAAGUCCGUCUUCCUGAGAGGUUUGGUCCCCUUCAACCAGCUCCAGCAGGGCUGGCAAAGCCCAGUUUUUGGAGAAACAGAAGAGAUUCACCUGUGGCUGAAAUUACCUACUAAUGUUUCUCUUAAGAAGACGACUCUGAUUUUGUUAUCACACCCUCAUGCUCGCAAGAAGCGAGAAAAAGGAGCCUUGGGUUCAAACGGGAGCCAGAUUUCCACACCCAACACCCAGAGCUCUGUGUCUGCACACCCACGACUAGACCCAUGCACGUGCUCUUGACACAGAGUAAAGAUUUUAGGAUGGAAAGGGUUUCAGCCCAGAGCCCCCCAGGAGAAAAGCAUGAGCCCCAGAAGACAGGGCUCCUGCUCACAAGGGGCUACCAGUCUAAAAAAAUUGGAUGUGUGACUAUGGCAGAGUUCAAUGGAAUUGCAAAUCAGAUCAUGGUUAGUUCAAGACAUAAUUCCUUUACCCAGCCCGCUGGGUACCAACAAGGCUCUGCUGACCCAGUCAGCCCAAAGAUAGCUAUCUGCUAAGAAAUACACAUGUGACUCAGUUUCCCAUCUGCAGAAUGGGGCUAAAAAUAAUCCUGGGCCCUGCCACAUACGGUUUUCUGUGGAAUGGAAUGAGAACACAUGUAAAGGAGUCAGAAAGUUCUCAAUGAUUUAUUAUUUACCUGUUAUUAAGGGGAGAAGAUCCUCACCUGCCUUCCAAUUUCUCCUUCAAAAUUUGUAUCUUUCACAGUGUACCUAGGAGUGAGCCCAGGACUUACCUAGUGCUCACUUAACGUUUGUUGUCUGAACUCCGGAAGCCUGUAUGUGUAUGCUGUGCUCUGACACAGAUGUGGUUCGGUGACAUCGAGACCACCAAGUUUCCACACGGGGAGGCACAGGGCUUAUCUGCAUGUGCCUCGGGGUCAGGGAGACCCAGGUUUGAAUCCCACCUCUCUCAUUUAUUAGCUCUGAUAUAUCCUUCCUGAGCCUCAGUUAACACUGUAUAAACCUUAGUUUCCUCAUCUGUAAAAUGGGGACAAGAAUACUGAAAGUUGAUUUAAGGACUUAAAGAGAUCAUGUUUCUAAAGAGCCAUGUAGAAUCCCUCAAGAGAUGGUGGUGUUGGUUUGCUGUUGGACACACAACAACUUAAAGACAAUGUUGUGUCCACAGGCACUCGUGUGGAAGAGAAAGACCAAAAAAAAUUUUUUAAAUAGAAAAACUCAAAAAAUAAAUAAAACCUCAUUACAGGGUAAUUUUAUAUUCCAACUAUUAAUUCUACUCUCAUGUAGCAUACCUUCAUCCUUGUAUGUUACCAGUGUGUAGUAAGUUUCACUAAAAAAUGAAUACUUCAUACAUGAGACUGAUCUUAUCACUUUAAAGAAACAUAUUGCCUGCAAAGGCAUUUGUGAACACUGUCAAGAGGCCACUCUGUAACCACAGGUCCUCCUACGUACACGAAGGCCAUAGUGUGUGUAUUCCAAAGGUGUGGAGUGUAGACAUAGGCACUGCAGUCAGACCACCUGGGCUGAAAUCCCAGAACCCUCACCCCUCAGUAGCUCUGCCCCUUUGGGAAAAUUGCUUGACCUCUCUGGGCCUGGGUUUCCUCAUCUAUAGGAUGCGGAUAUUAAUAAUAGUACCCACCUCAUAGGGUUUUCAUGAGAAUGAAAUGAAAACACAUGUGAAGGUAGAAAACUAGUGCUGGGUGCAUCAUCAACUUUUAAGAGUUUUUAUUUUUGACAGUGUGCCUGAAAUGUUCCUAAAACUAAGCUGGUGUUCAAUAAAAAAUAUAUUUAAUAAAUGA
Vicugna pacos (alpaca) is the source of this 2694-nucleotide non-coding RNA. The record is from RefSeq and is a predicted model, not a curated record. NCBI's taxonomy places the organism in Eukaryota, Metazoa, Chordata, Mammalia, Artiodactyla, Camelidae.